This 2923-nucleotide ribosomal RNA is filed under the name Klebsiella quasipneumoniae. Its description in RNAcentral is "bacterial LSU rRNA". It matches the Rfam family "Bacterial large subunit ribosomal RNA". Lineage: Bacteria; Pseudomonadati; Pseudomonadota; Gammaproteobacteria; Enterobacterales; Enterobacteriaceae. The record is from RNAcentral.
GGGUUGUGAGGUUAAGCGACUAAGCGUACACGGUGGAUGCCCUGGCAGUCAGAGGCGAUGAAGGACGUGCUAAUCUGCGAAAAGCGUCGGUAAGGUGAUAUGAACCGUUAUAACCGGCGAUGUCCGAAUGGGGAAACCCAGUGCAAUUCGUUGCACUAUCGUUAACUGAAUACAUAGGUUAACGAGGCGAACCGGGGGAACUGAAACAUCUAAGUACCCCGAGGAAAAGAAAUCAACCGAGAUUCCCCCAGUAGCGGCGAGCGAACGGGGAGCAGCCCAGAGUCUGAAUCAGCUUGUGUGUUAGUGGAACGGUCUGGAAAGUCCGACGGUACAGGGUGAUAGUCCCGUACACCAAAAUGCACAGGUUGUGAACUCGAAGAGUAGGGCGGGACACGUGGUAUCCUGUCUGAAUAUGGGGGGACCAUCCUCCAAGGCUAAAUACUCCUGACUGACCGAUAGUGAACCAGUACCGUGAGGGAAAGGCGAAAAGAACCCCGGCGAGGGGAGUGAAAAAGAACCUGAAACCGUGUACGUACAAGCAGUGGGAGCACCUUCGGGUGUGACUGCGUACCUUUUGUAUAAUGGGUCAGCGACUUAUAUUCUGUAGCAAGGUUAACCGUAUAGGGGAGCCGCAGGGAAACCGAGUCUUAACUGGGCGUUAAGUUGCAGGGUAUAGACCCGAAACCCGGUGAUCUAGCCAUGGGCAGGUUGAAGGUUGGGUAACACUAACUGGAGGACCGAACCGACUAAUGUUGAAAAAUUAGCGGAUGACUUGUGGCUGGGGGUGAAAGGCCAAUCAAACCGGGAGAUAGCUGGUUCUCCCCGAAAGCUAUUUAGGUAGCGCCUCGUGAACUCAUCUUCGGGGGUAGAGCACUGUUUCGGCUAGGGGGUCAUCCCGACUUACCAACCCGAUGCAAACUACGAAUACCGAAGAAUGUUAUCACGGGAGACACACGGCGGGUGCUAACGUCCGUCGUGAAGAGGGAAACAACCCAGACCGCCAGCUAAGGUCCCAAAGUCAUGGUUAAGUGGGAAACGAUGUGGGAAGGCACAGACAGCCAGGAUGUUGGCUUAGAAGCAGCCAUCAUUUAAAGAAAGCGUAAUAGCUCACUGGUCGAGUCGGCCUGCGCGGAAGAUGUAACGGGGCUAAACCAUGCACCGAAGCUGCGGCAGCGACACUAUGUGUUGUUGGGUAGGGGAGCGUUCUGUAAGCCUGCGAAGGUGACCUGUGAGGGUUGCUGGAGGUAUCAGAAGUGCGAAUGCUGACAUAAGUAACGAUAAAGCGGGUGAAAAGCCCGCUCGCCGGAAGACCAAGGGUUCCUGUCCAACGUUAAUCGGGGCAGGGUGAGUCGACCCCUAAGGCGAGGCCGAAAGGCGUAGUCGAUGGGAAACAGGUUAAUAUUCCUGUACUUGGUGUUACUGCGAAGGGGGGACGGAGAAGGCUAUGUUAGCCGGGCGACGGUUGUCCCGGUUUAAGCAUGUAGGCUGGUUAUCCAGGCAAAUCCGGAUAAUCAAGGCUGAGGUGUGAUGACGAGGCACUACGGUGCUGAAGUAACAAAUGCCCUGCUUCCAGGAAAAGCCUCUAAGCAUCAGGUAACAUCAAAUCGUACCCCAAACCGACACAGGUGGUCAGGUAGAGAAUACCAAGGCGCUUGAGAGAACUCGGGUGAAGGAACUAGGCAAAAUGGUGCCGUAACUUCGGGAGAAGGCACGCUGGUGUGUAGGUGAAGUCCCUGCGGAUGGAGCUGAGACCAGUCGAAGAUACCAGCUGGCUGCAACUGUUUAUUAAAAACACAGCACUGUGCAAACACGAAAGUGGACGUAUACGGUGUGACGCCUGCCCGGUGCCGGAAGGUUAAUUGAUGGGGUUAUCCGUAAGGAGAAGCUCUUGAUCGAAGCCCCGGUAAACGGCGGCCGUAACUAUAACGGUCCUAAGGUAGCGAAAUUCCUUGUCGGGUAAGUUCCGACCUGCACGAAUGGCGUAAUGAUGGCCAGGCUGUCUCCACCCGAGACUCAGUGAAAUUGAACUCGCUGUGAAGAUGCAGUGUACCCGCGGCAAGACGGAAAGACCCCGUGAACCUUUACUAUAGCUUGACACUGAACAUUGAGCCUUGAUGUGUAGGAUAGGUGGGAGGCUUUGAAGCGUGGACGCCAGUCUGCGUGGAGCCAACCUUGAAAUACCACCCUUUAAUGUUUGAUGUUCUAACGUGGGCCCCUAAUCGGGGUUGCGGACAGUGUCUGGUGGGUAGUUUGACUGGGGCGGUCUCCUCCCAAAGCGUAACGGAGGAGCACGAAGGUUAGCUAAUCCUGGUCGGACAUCAGGAGGUUAGUGCAAUGGCAUAAGCUAGCUUGACUGCGAGCGUGACGGCGCGAGCAGGUGCGAAAGCAGGUCAUAGUGAUCCGGUGGUUCUGAAUGGAAGGGCCAUCGCUCAACGGAUAAAAGGUACUCCGGGGAUAACAGGCUGAUACCGCCCAAGAGUUCAUAUCGACGGCGGUGUUUGGCACCUCGAUGUCGGCUCAUCACAUCCUGGGGCUGAAGUAGGUCCCAAGGGUAUGGCUGUUCGCCAUUUAAAGUGGUACGCGAGCUGGGUUUAGAACGUCGUGAGACAGUUCGGUCCCUAUCUGCCGUGGGCGCUGGAGAAUUGAGGGGGGCUGCUCCUAGUACGAGAGGACCGGAGUGGACGCAUCACUGGUGUUCGGGUUGUCAUGCCAAUGGCACUGCCCGGUAGCUAAAUGCGGAAGAGAUAAGUGCUGAAAGCAUCUAAGCACGAAACUUGCCCCGAGAUGAGUUCUCCCUGAGACUUUAAGUCUCCUGAAGGAACGUUGAAGACGACGACGUUGAUAGGCCGGGUGUGUAAGCGCAGCGAUGCGUUGAGCUAACCGGUACUAAUGAACCGUGAGGCUUAACCUUACAACGCCGAAG